GCUAUGAUCAUGCCUCCAGAGGCUGAGGUGGGAGGAUGACUUGAGCCUGGGAGGUCCAGGCUGCAGUGAGCUAUAAUCAUGCCACUGCACUCCAGCCUGGACAACAGAGCAAGACUCUGUCUCAAAAUAACAACAACAAAAAAAGAGGCAGCAUAGACUUCAGAAAGGUGGGUCUGGGAAAAAUGAAUCAUAUACCUCUCCAGUGGUCUCAGACACCCCAACAUAGAUACCAUCAGAUCCCCUAAACACAGGCACCCAGGCAGGUGCCAUCAGAUACCCAAAACAGGCUUCCAGGUAACCCCCAAAUAUGUCAGACACUCCACAUAGGUCCAGCAGAUACCCCCAAACACAUACUAGAUAACCCCAAUACAGAUGCUGUCAGAUACCCUCAAACAGGUGCUCAGAGUCUGAAACACAUACCAUACCCUCCCCUAUCCACUUCCACACAGGUGCUAUUUGGCAGAUGUGGAUAGGCCAGAUGCUUCCCCCAGCACCAGCAACCUCUCAAUUGCCAUCAGACACCCCAGUCUUGAGGUUGCCUGUCUAAUCCAAGUCCUGCCACAGGGGAGGCAGUUGAACAGUAACCAGGAGUCGAGCAGAACAGCUCUCACCAAGGUUGGCUGGUCAGCCAGGCCUAGAAGAUCUCCCCAUGGCCAGGCAAGACGGCUCAUGCCUGUAAUCCUAACACUUUGGGAGUCUGAGGAGGGAGGAUCACUUGAGUCCAGGAGCUUUGAGAUCAGCCUGGGAAACCUCGCAUGACCCAGUCUCUAUUUUAGAAAAAAAGAUUUCCCCAAACCCAAUCACUUCAAAACAUGCACAAUAUGUUGUUGAGAGUCCCCAGUUCAGAAGCUGGAGGGUUGCGUCCCCAGGUGGACUAGCCUUCAGUUCAAGUCCAACCUUCAUGGUCCAGAGGAAGGGAGCAUGUUCAGGGAAUUGGAUGUCCCAGAAAUGCAAGACGUAAUUCACCAGGCACCCUACUGCAGCUGAGGUCAGAAACUCUAACACGGGAGUUUAUGAGGGCUCAAUGGUUGGGCAGCUGUGUAGCUGUGGCUUAUGGACUUAGGGGCAUGAACCUUAUUUUUUUUCCUUUUUUUUUUUUUUUUUUUUUUUUUGAGACAGGAUCUCACUCUGUCACUUAGGCUGGAAGUGCAGUGGCACAAUCAUAGCUCAUUGCAGCUUCCAUCUCCUGGGCUCAAGUUGUCCUCCCACCUCAGCCUCCCAAGUAGCUGGGACCACAGGCACACACCACCACGUCUGGCUAAUUUUUUUGUAGAGACAGAGUUUCGCCAUGUUGCCUAGAUUGGUCUCGAACUCCUGAGCUCAAGUGAUCUGCCCGCCUGGGCCUCCUAUGAUGCCAGGAUUGUAGGUGUGAGCCAUCAUGCCCGGCCUUUGAACCUUAUUUCUUUCUUUCUCUUUUUCUUUCUUUUUUUUUUUUUUUCUUUCUUGAGACAGAGUCUCACUCUGUCACCCAGGCUGCAGUGUAGUGGUACCAUCUAGGCUCACUGCAGCCUCCACCUCCUGGGUUCAAGUGAUCCUCCUGCCUCAGCCUCCCGAGUGCUGGAAUUACAGCUUUGCAGAGGCAAGCGUCUAUGAUUUAAAUGCUAGCUUUGCCGCUUACUGGCUGAAAGACUUUAAAUGACAAUAACAAAAAAUGAAGAGGAUGAUGAUGAUGAUACAAGAUACCAUUGCCCGUGUGUACCAGACAUCAUGCUAAGGUCUUUGUCACCUGGACUGGAGUGCAGUGGUGGGAUCACAACUCACUGCAGCCUCAAUGUCCCAGGCUCAAACAAUCCUCCUGCCUCAGCCUCCCGAGUAGCUGGGACU
This 1824-nucleotide long non-coding RNA is filed under the name Homo sapiens (human). Its description in RNAcentral is "HSALNT0255191". The record is from RNAcentral. Lineage: Eukaryota; Metazoa; Chordata; Mammalia; Primates; Hominidae.